RNAcentral lists this non-coding RNA (31 nucleotides) under Homo sapiens (human). The record is from RNAcentral. Lineage: Eukaryota; Metazoa; Chordata; Mammalia; Primates; Hominidae.
UUGGAACAGGCUCUGUGCCCAAGCUGGCAGA